RNAcentral lists this ribosomal RNA (229 nucleotides) under uncultured bacterium. RNAcentral's name for it is "partial 16S ribosomal RNA". It matches the Rfam family "Bacterial small subunit ribosomal RNA", at positions 568 to 796 of the family's 1533-position model. The record is from RNAcentral.
CACGUAGGCGGAUUGGCAAGUCAGAUGUGAAAGCCCGGGGCUUAACCCCGGAAUUGCAUUUGAUACUGUCUGUCUUGAGUAUGGUAGAGGGGGAUGGAAUUCCCGGUGUAGAGGUGAAAUUCGUAGAUAUCGGGAGGAACACCAGAGGCGAAGGCGAUCCCCUGGGCCAUUACUGACGCUGAGGUGCGAAAGCGUGGGGAGCGAACAGGAUUAGAUACCCUGGUAGUCC